RNAcentral lists this transfer RNA (73 nucleotides) under Mageeibacillus indolicus UPII9-5. RNAcentral describes it as "Clostridiales genomosp. BVAB3 str. UPII9-5 tRNA". It matches the Rfam family "tRNA". Rfam says of the family: Transfer RNA (tRNA) molecules are approximately 80 nucleotides in length. Their secondary structure includes four short double-helical elements and three loops (D, anti-codon, and T loops). The record is from Rfam by way of RNAcentral. Lineage: Bacteria; Bacillati; Bacillota; Clostridia; Eubacteriales; Oscillospiraceae.
GCCUUGUUAGCUCAGUUGGUAGAGCAUGCGGCUGUUAACCGCAGGGUCGUAGGUUCGAGUCCUACACAAGGCG